RNAcentral lists this ribosomal RNA (305 nucleotides) under uncultured bacterium. Its description in RNAcentral is "bacterial SSU rRNA". It matches the Rfam family "Bacterial small subunit ribosomal RNA", at positions 334 to 637 of the family's 1533-position model. The record is from RNAcentral.
UUAUCCUACGGGAGGCAGCAGUGAGGAAUAUUGGUCAAUGGCCGAGAGGCUGAACCAGCCAAGUCGCGCGAGGGAAGAAUGUCCUAGGGAUUGUAAACCUCUUUUGUCAGGGAACAAAGGCGGGGACGCGUCCCCGGAUGAGUGUACCUGAAGAAAAAGCAUCGGCUAACUCCGUGCCAGCAGCCGCGGUAAUACGGAGGAUGCGAGCGUUAUCCGGAUUUAUUGGGUUUAAAGGGUGCGCAGGCGGGCUGUUAAGUCAGCGGUCAAAGCCCGGGGCUCAACCCCGGCCCGCCGUUGAAACUGGG